CCAGUAGGAUUGCGAGACGCGCGAGGGGGGUAGGGCAGCCUAACCCACCCGACCGGUCGGACCCGUGCCCACAUACUGCGGGGAGCCUUGCGGCUCUCUCGAGGGGGGCGUGGCGGCUCGUCCGCCCGCCUGUAGACGGGGGCCUUCCCUUUAGGUGGGGCUUCUCUCCGCCGUUCUUGCCUUCCACAACCUUCACCCUUGAUUACCCUAGCCUUUGUUGCCUCGGCAGGUCAGCCUGCCAGAGGACACAACCUAAACUACUGUUGUUAACAGCGAAGUCUGAGCUACAAAGCAAUUGUUUA
RNAcentral lists this unclassified non-coding RNA (302 nucleotides) under uncultured Rhytidhysteron. Its description in RNAcentral is "sequence contains ITS1". The record is from RNAcentral. Lineage: Eukaryota; Fungi; Ascomycota; Dothideomycetes; Hysteriales; Hysteriaceae.